RNAcentral lists this ribosomal RNA (611 nucleotides) under uncultured bacterium. Its description in RNAcentral is "bacterial SSU rRNA". The stretch from base 1 to 522 matches the Rfam family "Bacterial small subunit ribosomal RNA", at positions 338 to 873 of the family's 1533-position model. The record is from RNAcentral.
CCUACGGGAGGCAGCAGUGGGGAAUAUUGCACAAUGGGCGAAAGCCUGAUGCAGCAACGCCGCGUGAGGGACGACGGCCUUCGGGUUGUAAACCUCUUUUGGCAGGGAAGAAGCGAAAGUGACGGUACCUGCAGAAAAAGCACCGGCUAACUACGUGCCAGCAGCCGCGGUAAUACGUAGGGUGCAAGCGUUGUCCGGAAUUAUUGGGCGUAAAGAGCUCGUAGGCGGUUUGUCGCGUCUGCUGUGAAAACGCAAGGCUCAACCUUGCGCCUGCAGUGGGUACGGGCAGACUAGAGUGUGGUAGGGGAGAUUGGAAUUCCUGGUGUAGCGGUGGAAUGCGCAGAUAUCAGGAGGAACACCGAUGGCGAAGGCAGAUCUCUGGGCCAUUACUGACGCUGAGGAGCGAAAGCGUGGGGAGCGAACAGGAUUAGAUACCCUGGUAGUCCACGCCGUAAACGUUGGGAACUAGAUGUGGGGUCCAUCACGAGUCGUCGUCGCNGCUACGCAUUAACGUUACCCGUCCGUCGGGAGGUACGGCCGCGACGGACGUAAACUACGAAGAAGUAGACGGCGUGAGACGUCGCCGAACGGACGACGACGAGGGAGGUAGG